This 373-nucleotide ribosomal RNA is filed under the name Ixodes frontalis. RNAcentral's name for it is "partial large subunit ribosomal RNA". The record is from RNAcentral. Lineage: Eukaryota; Metazoa; Arthropoda; Arachnida; Ixodida; Ixodidae.
AUGAGUGCUAAGAGAAUGAUUUAACAAUUAAUAACUUUCUUUAUUUUAAAAAUUAAAUUUAAUUUUUUUGUGAGGAAGCAAAAAUAAAAAUUAGGGACAAGAAGACCCUAUGAAUUUUAGAUUAAUAUUUAUAUUAGUAAUUAAUUUUAUAUUAAUUUUGUUGGGGCGACAGAAAAAGAAUAACUAUCUUUUAAUAAUAAGUUAAUUUGGAUCCAUUAUUUAGUGAUUUAAUGAAAAAAAUACUCUAGGGAUAACAGCGUAAUAAUUUUGGAUAGUUCUUAUAGAUAAAAUAGUUUGCGACCUCGAUGUUGGAUUAGGAUUCUUUUUUAAUGAAGAAGUUAAAAAAAGAAGUUUGUUCAACUUUUAAACUCCU